CGUCAAAUCAUCAUGGCUCUUACGACCGGGGCUAGACACGUGCUACAAUGGUGACUACAAUGGGUUGCUACUUAGUAAUAAGAUGCUAAUCUCAAAAAAGUCAUCUCAGUUCGGAUUGAGGUCUGCAACUCGACCUCAUGAAGUUGGAAUCGCUAGUAAUCGCGCAUCAGCAUGGCGCGGUGAAUACGUUCCCGGGCCUU
Molecule: ribosomal RNA, 200 nt
Filed under: uncultured prokaryote
Description: partial 16S ribosomal RNA
Rfam family: Bacterial small subunit ribosomal RNA
Source: RNAcentral